UACGUAGGGUCCAAGCGUUAAUCGGAAUUACUGGGCGUAAAGCGUGCGCAGGCGGUUGUGUAAGCCAGAUGUGAAAUCCCCGGGCUUAACCUGGGAAUGGCAUUUGGGACUGCACGGCUAGAGUACGGCAGAGGAGACUAGAAUUCCUGGUGUAGCAGUGAAAUGCGUAGAUAUUGGGAGGAACACCAGUGGCGAAGGCGGCUCACUGGACUGGUACUGACGCUGAGGCGCGAAAGCGUGGGGAGCAAACAGG
Molecule: ribosomal RNA, 253 nt
Filed under: uncultured bacterium
Lineage: Bacteria
Description: partial 16S ribosomal RNA
Rfam family: Bacterial small subunit ribosomal RNA
Source: RNAcentral